UUGAAAAGAGAGUUAAACAGCACGUGAAAUUGUUGAAAGGGAAGCGCUUGGGACCAGACUCGCCCGCGGGGUUCAGCCGGCAUUCGUGCCGGUGUACUUCCCCGUGGGCGGGCCAGCGUCGGUUUGGGCGGCCGGUCAGCGGCUCCCGGAAUGUAGCGCCUCUCGGGGCGCCUUAUAGCCGGGGGUGCAGUGCGGCCAGCCUGGACCGAGGAACGCGCUUCGGCACGGACGCUGGCAUAAUGGUCGUAAACGACCCGUCUUGAAACACGGACCAAGACGCGUCUCGUUUACGA
This 293-nucleotide ribosomal RNA is filed under the name Aspergillus candidus. RNAcentral's name for it is "partial 18S ribosomal RNA". It matches the Rfam family "Eukaryotic large subunit ribosomal RNA", at positions 376 to 687 of the family's 3401-position model. The record is from RNAcentral. Lineage: Eukaryota; Fungi; Ascomycota; Eurotiomycetes; Eurotiales; Aspergillaceae.